GCACAACGCGAAGAACCUUACCAAGGCUUGACAUGUAGAAGAACACCGCAGAGAUGCGGGACUCUUUGGACACUUCUAUACAGGUGGUGCAUGGUUGUCGUCAGCUCGUGUCGUGAGAUGUUCGGUUAAGUCCGGCAACGAGCGCAACCCUCGUCCUAUGUUGCCAGCACGUUAUGGUGGGAACUCAUGGGAUACUGCCGUGGUCAACACGGAGGAAGGUGGGGAUGACGUCAAAUCAUCAUGCCCCUUAUGUCUUGGGCUUCACGCAUGCUACAAUGGCCGGUACAAAGGGCUGCGAUACCGUAAGGUGGAGCGAAUCCCAAAAAGCCGGUCUCAGUUCGGAUUGGGGUCUGCAACUCGACCCCAUGAAGUCGGAGUCGCUAGUAAUCGCAGAUCAGCAACGCUGCGGUGAAUACGUUCCCGGGUCUUGUACACACCG
RNAcentral lists this ribosomal RNA (439 nucleotides) under uncultured bacterium. RNAcentral's name for it is "bacterial SSU rRNA". It matches the Rfam family "Bacterial small subunit ribosomal RNA", at positions 954 to 1392 of the family's 1533-position model. The record is from RNAcentral.